GGACCUGAUAUCAGGCAAGAUUACCCGCUGAACUUAAGCAUAUUAAUAAGCGGAGGAAAAGAAACUAACAAGGAUUCCCCUAGUAACGGCGAGUGAAGCGGGAAGAGCUCAAGCUUAAAAUCUCCGUGCAAGUUUUGUGCGGCGAAUUGUAGUCUAUAGAAGCGUGGUCAGCAUGGGCACUUGGGGCAAGUUCCUUGGAAGAGGACAGCAUGGAGGGUGAUACUCCCGUUCAUUUCUGAGUUGCUCGUGCGUACGACCCGUUUUCUUUGAGUCGCGUUGUUUGGGAAUGCAGCGCAAAGUAGGUGGUAAAUUCCAUCUAAAGCUAAAUAUUGGUGCGAGACCGAUAGCGAACAAGUACCGUGAGGGAAAGAUGAAAAGAACUUUGAAAAGAGAGUUAAAGAGUACCUGAAACUGCUGAAAGGGAACCGAAUCGUUUCCAGUGUCUAUAAUCCGUGGUAUAUUUCAUUGGCGAGUGUGUGCGUGCGUGUGCUGUGGCAGCGGCUUUUUUGGCUGCGCUCGGCGUGUGUGCUGUGUGUGCUUGCUGGUGCUCUGUGCUGCGGUGGGACGUCAAGGUCAGUUCGUAUGCUGCGGGAAAUGGCUGCCGAGGAGGUAGGGCUUACGCUUGCGUUUGUCUGUUAUAUCUUGGUGGACGAGUAGUCGCGGUUGGGACUGAGGUGCCUACAACGUGCUUUUGAGUGGGUUUGUGUCUCCGUGUGCGCCGUGUGCGGAUAGCUUGCUAUGCGUGUGUGGUUGUGUGUGGAUUGAUGCGAGCUUUAACUUGUUGCCGUUCGGGACGUUGACGAAAUGGAGCGAUUCGACCCGUCUGAAACACGGACCAAGGAGUCUAACAUGUGUGCAAGUGUUAGGGUGUGGAAACCCCAGCGCGAAAUGAAAGUGAAGGGCAGCGUAAGUUGUCUGAGGUAGGAAAUGCUGCGGGCUUCGGUCUGCGGUGUGGCACUAUCGACCGAUCAUGAACCUUCGUGGUGAAAGAUUUGAGUUUGAGCACAUAUGUUGGUACCCGAAAGAUGGUGAACUAUGCCUGAGUAGGGUGAAGCCAGGGGAAACUCUGGUGGAAGCUCGUAGCGAUUCUGACGUGCAAAUCGAUCGUCAAACUUGGGUAUAGGGGCGAAAGACUAAUCGAACCAUCUAGUAGCUGGUUCCCUCCGAAAUUUCCCUCAGGAUAGCAGCAACUUAUUUACGAUAGUUUUAUGAGGUAAAGCGAAUGAUUAGAGGAUUCGGGGAAGAAACUUCCUCGACCUAUUCUCAAACUUUAAAUCUGUAAGACCUGCAGGUUUCUUAAUUGAACUUGUGGAUGUGAAUAUCAAGUUGCUAGUGGGCCAUACGGGGUAAGCUCGUCUGGCGAUGCGGGAUGAACCGAACGCAAAGUAAAAGUGCCAAAAUGCUCGCUCACCUAGAUACCAUAAAAGGUGUUGGUUCAUUUAGACAGCAGGACGGUGGCCAUGGAAGUCGGAAUCCGCUAAGGAGUGUGUAACAACUCACCUGCCGAAUGAACUAGCCCUGAAAAUGGAUGGCGCUAAAGCGGGCUACUUAUACUUUGCCGUUAGCGCGAUAGCAUGAGUAAUGUACGCGUUAAUGAGUAGGAGGGCGUGAAGGUCGUGAAGAAGCUCGUGGCGUGAGCCUGAGUGAAACGGCCUUUAGUGCAGAUCUUGGUGGUAGUAGCAAAUAUUCAAAUGCGAACUUUGAAGACUGAAGUGGAGAAAGGUUCCGUGUGAUCAGUAAUUGGACACGGGUGAGUCGAUCCUAAGAGAUAGGAUAAUUCCGUUUGAAAGCUGGGCUGUUUGAGGCGUGGGGUUCGUCCUUGCGUUUUGUAUGCAGCCUCGUGUAUCGAAAGGGAAUCAGGUUAAUAUUCCUGAACCGAGACGUGGAUAAUAUGUGGUAACACAACCGACCCAGGAGACGCUAGCGUGUGCCCAGGGAAGAGUUCUCUUUUCUUUUUAACCAGCAUAUCCUGCCUUGGAAACGGAUUAUCCGGCGAUAAGGAGGAUGCCUUGGCAAAA
The sequence is a non-coding RNA, 2018 nucleotides long. It matches the Rfam family "Eukaryotic large subunit ribosomal RNA", at positions 1 to 1763 of the family's 3401-position model.